Molecule: ribosomal RNA, 825 nt
Filed under: uncultured organism
Description: bacterial SSU rRNA
Rfam family: Bacterial small subunit ribosomal RNA
Source: RNAcentral
UGAUCCUGGCUCAGGAUGAACGCUAGCGGCGCGCUUAAUGCAUGCAAGUCGAGCGAUGAGGCCUUCUUCGGAGGGCACAUCAGCGGCAGACGGGUGAGUAACACGUGGGUGACCUGCCCUUGAGACGGGGAUAACGGAUGGAAACAUGCGCUAAUACCCGAUAGGGUCCCAGGGUCAAAGCUGGGAUGAAAGCUUUGGUGCUCAAGGAGGGGCUCGCGGCCCAUCAGCUAGUUGGUGAGGUAACGGCUCACCAAGGCGAAGACGGGUAGGGGGUGUGAGAGCACGGCCCCCCACAAUGGGACUGAGACACGGCCCAUACUCCUACGGGAGGCAGCAGCAGGGAAUAUUGCACAAUGGACGGAAGUCUGAUGCAGCGACGCCGCGUGGAUGAUGAAGGCCUUCGGGUUGUAAAAUCCUUUACGGGGUGACGAGGAAGGACGGUAGCCCCGGAACAAGCGUCGGCUAACUACGUGCCAGCAGCCGCGGUAAGACGUAGGACGCAAGCGUUAUCCGGAUUUACUGGGCGUAAAGCGUCUGUAGGCGGAUGAGUAAGUUGGGCGUGAAAGCUCCGGGCUCAACCCGGAGAGGCCGUUCAAUACUGCUGAUCUAGAGGAGGCCAGAGGGGAGUGGAAUUCCUGGAGUAGCGGUAAAAUGCGCAGAUAUCAGGAAGAACACCAGUGGCGAAGGCGGCUCCCUAGGGCCCACCUGACGCUGAGAGACGACAGCUAGGGGAGCGAACAGGAUUAGAGACCCUGGUAGUCCUAGCCGUAAACGAUGGAUGCUAGGUGUAGGGGCGUAGAGGCUCUGUGCCGGAGCGAACGCGAU